UGGGGAAUUUUGGACAAUGGGCGCAAGCCUGAUCCAGCCAUGCCGCGUGCGGGAAGAAGGCCUUCGGGUUGUAAACCGCUUUUGUCAGGGAAGAAAUCUUCUGAGUUAAUACCUCGGGAGGAUGACGGUACCUGAAGAAUAAGCACCGGCUAACUACGUGCCAGCAGCCGCGGUAAUACGUAGGGUGCAAGCGUUAAUCGGAAUUACUGGGCGUAAAGCGUGCGCAGGCGGUUUUGUAAGACAGAGGUGAAAUCCCCGGGCUCAACCUGGGAACUGCCUUUGUGACUGCAAGGCUUGAGUGCGGCAGAGGGGGGAUGGAAUUCCGCGUGUAGCAGUGAAAUGCGUAGAUAUGCGGAGGAACACCGAUGGCGAAGGCAAUCCCCUGGGCCUGCACUGACGCUCAUGCACGAAAGCGUGGGGAGCAAACAGGAUUAGAUACCCUGGUAGUCACGCCCUAAACGAUGUCAACUGGUUGUUGGGAAGGUUCCUUCUCAGUAACGUAGCUAACGC
RNAcentral lists this ribosomal RNA (510 nucleotides) under uncultured bacterium. RNAcentral describes it as "partial 16S ribosomal RNA". It matches the Rfam family "Bacterial small subunit ribosomal RNA", at positions 355 to 858 of the family's 1533-position model. The record is from RNAcentral.